AUAGGGAAUGUGAGCUGGGAUUAGACCAUCGUGAGACAGGUUUGUUUUACCCUCCUGAUGA
This 61-nucleotide non-coding RNA is filed under the name Buceros rhinoceros silvestris. Its description in RNAcentral is "Eukaryotic large subunit ribosomal RNA". It matches the Rfam family "Eukaryotic large subunit ribosomal RNA", at positions 2943 to 3003 of the family's 3401-position model. The record is from Rfam by way of RNAcentral. Lineage: Eukaryota; Metazoa; Chordata; Aves; Bucerotiformes; Bucerotidae.